GCUGUUGGACAUGUGAAAUGUGGCUGCUGUAGCUAAGGAUGCGAUUCAGGAUACCUGGAGAUUGCCUUGGGGGACCUGUCACCAACGUCCACCGACUGCCAGCUAAAGUCACUAAUCUCAGCUGGAAUGGAGACACAGUCAUCAGCUUCUGAGUGUCUGUUCAUUGGCCCAGCAGUUCCUGUAUGAAGUACGUGCCUGACAACAGACUUUUGGAAAAGGAAACCUUUGUAUGUGAAAAUCAUGCACACAUCUGUAGAAUAUCUAACUUCUGGCAUAUUCUA
Long non-coding RNA from Suricata suricatta (meerkat), 281 nucleotides. RefSeq lists it as uncharacterized. The record is from RefSeq and is a predicted model, not a curated record. Lineage: Eukaryota; Metazoa; Chordata; Mammalia; Carnivora; Herpestidae. The transcript has 3 exons.